This is a non-coding RNA of Acanthosepion pharaonis, 86 nucleotides long. NCBI's taxonomy places the organism in Eukaryota, Metazoa, Mollusca, Cephalopoda, Sepiida, Sepiidae. The record is from the annotation of a GenBank genome assembly.
UUCCCGUAUCAUCACCGAAGUUAAGCAACGUCGAGCCUGUUCAGUACCUAGAUGGGUGACCACUUGGGAAUACCAGGUGCUGUAAG